Molecule: long non-coding RNA, 1492 nt
Filed under: Sus scrofa (pig)
Lineage: Eukaryota; Metazoa; Chordata; Mammalia; Artiodactyla; Suidae
Description: lncRNA (ENSSSCG00030009694.1)
Source: RNAcentral
CAGCUCAAGAAAAUAAGGUUCCUCCGAGUGAGGGGCCCACCUGAUCAGCCAGGCGGCAUCGGGACUGCGGAGCCCCAGGCAGCCACGCUGGUCUGGGGCACAUUUCCAAGCCAGAUGGCCUGUUUCCCGUCCUGCUCCCCAGCGCAUGCUUGGCCCCUCUGGUAACAGGUUUGACCCGAUGGCCGCGGCUGGGACAGGAUCGGGGGCGCCUGCCCAAACAGCACACGCAGCAGCACACCUGAGCCUUGGAGGCAGAAGAAACCAGGAGAGGGAGUGGCGGGCCACAGAAAAAGGGGGGAUACACGCUCUCGGCCCGUCUCGCGGGCCUUCUCAGAGCCUUCAUCCCCUGCAGUGCACUGUUCUCCCAAGGGAGUGCCGCCUGGCACGGGGGAUCCCAGCCUGAUUUGCACCCGGAAACCCUGCUGCAGGAGUGUCUCAUGAAGCCAGUGCCGCACAGAACUGGGAGCUGUGGCUCGUGCAAAAGGCAUGGCUGGGACCCCAACGGGCACCCCGGCUGGCACCCUCCCUCUGCACCCUACGGAAGGCUUCUCCUGAGCUUCCGCUUCACAGUGAGAUGGGGCCUCGUCCCCGGCAGUGCCAGGGCUGGCCUGCCCGGCCCAGUUCGGCAGCUCAGCUAUGGGAGGCGGAGGCUUGGGGGAGGUGAGCGGAGGCUGCCAGGUGGAUGCCAGCCCCUUGCCACCUGCAGCGGAAUCGCGGGUGGGGGGUCACGGUGGCUCCCCUGCAGAGCUUCCCCGGGAUGUCCCAAGGCCACCGUCAGGUCAGCCAGCGGCUCACUCGGGCGGCUGUGGAUGCCAGAGCCUGGGCAGGAGGAAGCUGGAAGCUGCGACACCCCAUUUUAAGGGGCCACCCAUUAAUUAAUUAGGCCCCAUGAAUAAUGCAUGCUGCCGUGGGUAUAUUAAUAGCAUAUUUAUACGGCAUGCUAUGGGUAGUAUACGUUCUCAUCCGAACACCUCACGAAUAAUUCACGACCCGCUCCUCCCCCGGGCUCCGGGGAACCUGGCCGGUGCUUCGGCGGGAGCUCGUGGGUUGCUUCCAGCAGCCAAAUUUUACAUUUCAUUAUAAAUGGCUUUGCUGGGCAUGGCGGUAACUUUUAUAUUUCCAUCCACUUUAUUAUUAAUGGCUUUCCUGAACUGCAGCGGCCCGACGUCGCACACAAUGCGUUAUGAAUAUUUGAUCUGGCAUCUAUAGUCUGCCAUUUAUCAUUUAUAACGGGUUACAAAACAUUAUAAAACAUUUACCGCACAUUUAUAGAUCAUUUCCAGCUACCACAACGAUGUGUUAUAAAUCCAUUAUUAAUCGUCCUCACGCCAUUUAUAGGAACCCCUUGUAAUGGGGCCUGGCCCUCCCGUCCCGUUAACACCGCGGGGGCUGGUGGGGGCGCCAGGGCGGACGGAAGGCCGGCCCUGCCUCCCAUGGCUGUGUGUCCUUGGCCAGAUCACAGCACCUCUCUGUUCAUAAAGCAGGUCAGACG